Molecule: ribosomal RNA, 465 nt
Filed under: uncultured Klebsiella sp.
Lineage: Bacteria; Pseudomonadati; Pseudomonadota; Gammaproteobacteria; Enterobacterales; Enterobacteriaceae
Description: bacterial SSU rRNA
Rfam family: Bacterial small subunit ribosomal RNA
Source: RNAcentral
CCUACGGGAGGCAGCAGUGGGGAAUAUUGCACAAUGGGCGCAAGCCUGAUGCAGCCAUGCCGCGUGUGUGAAGAAGGCCUUCGGGUUGUAAAGCACUUUCAGCGGGGAGGAAGGCGGUGAGGUUAAUAACCUCAUCGAUUGACGUUACCCGCAGAAGAAGCACCGGCUAACUCCGUGCCAGCAGCCGCGGUAAUACGGAGGGUGCAAGCGUUAAUCGGAAUUACUGGGCGUAAAGCGCACGCAGGCGGUCUGUCAAGUCGGAUGUGAAAUCCCCGGGCUCAACCUGGGAACUGCAUUCGAAACUGGCAGGCUAGAGUCUUGUAGAGGGGGGUAGAAUUCCAGGUGUAGCGGUGAAAUGCGUAGAGAUCUGGAGGAAUACCGGUGGCGAAGGCGGCCCCCUGGACAAAGACUGACGCUCAGGCGCGAAAGCGUGGGGAGCAAACAGGAUUAGAUACCCGUGUAGUC